This 486-nucleotide ribosomal RNA is filed under the name uncultured bacterium. RNAcentral's name for it is "partial 16S ribosomal RNA". It matches the Rfam family "Bacterial small subunit ribosomal RNA", at positions 30 to 507 of the family's 1533-position model. The record is from RNAcentral.
AUUGAACGCUGGCGGCAUGCCUUACACAUGCCAGUCGAACGGCAGCACGGGUGCUUGCACCUGGUGGCGAGUGGCGAACGGGUGAGUAAUACAUCGGAACAUGUCCUGUAGUGGGGGAUAGCCCGGCGAAAGCCGGAUUAAUACCGCAUACGAUCUACGGAUGAAAGCGGGGGCCCUUCGGGCCUCGCGCUAUAGGGUUGGCCGAUGGCUGAUUAGCUAGUUGGUGGGGUAAAGGCCUACCAAGGCGACGAUCAGUAGCUGGUCUGAGAGGACGACCAGCCACACUGGGACUGAGACACGGCCCAGACUCCUACGGGAGGCAGCAGUGGGGAAUUUUGGACAAUGGGCGAAAGCCUGAUCCAGCAAUGCCGCGUGUGUGAAGAAGGCCUUCGGGUUGUAAAGCACUUUUGGCCGGGAAGAAAUCCUUGGCCCUAAUACGGUCGGGGGAUGACGGUACCGGAAGAAUAAGCACCGGCUAACUACGUG